RNAcentral lists this ribosomal RNA (279 nucleotides) under uncultured bacterium. RNAcentral describes it as "partial 16S ribosomal RNA". It matches the Rfam family "Bacterial small subunit ribosomal RNA", at positions 506 to 784 of the family's 1533-position model. The record is from RNAcentral.
UGCCAGCCGCCGCGGUAAUACGGGGGGAGCAAGCGUUGUCCGGAAUCAUUGGGCGUAAAGGGUGCGUAGGCGGGCUAUUAAGUCUGAUGUGAAAGCCCACGGCUUAACCGUGGAGAGUCAUUGGAUACUGAUAGUCUUGAAUCACAGAGGGGUCAGUGGAAUUCCAGGUGUAGCGGUGAAAUGCGUAGAUAUCUGGAGGAACAUCGGUGGCGAAGGCGACUGGAUGGCUGUUGAUUGAAGCUGAGGCAAGAACGCGUGGGUCGCAAACAGGAUUAGAUA